RNAcentral lists this transfer RNA (76 nucleotides) under Candidatus Latescibacterota bacterium. RNAcentral describes it as "Candidatus Latescibacteria bacterium tRNA-Glu". It matches the Rfam family "tRNA". Rfam says of the family: Transfer RNA (tRNA) molecules are approximately 80 nucleotides in length. Their secondary structure includes four short double-helical elements and three loops (D, anti-codon, and T loops). The record is from RNAcentral. Lineage: Bacteria; Pseudomonadati; Candidatus Latescibacterota.
GACCCCAUCGUCCAGGCGGUUAGGACAUCAGCCUUUCAAGAUGAAAACAGGGGUUCAAAACCCCUUGGGGUCGCCA